This 346-nucleotide ribosomal RNA is filed under the name uncultured bacterium. RNAcentral describes it as "partial 16S ribosomal RNA". It matches the Rfam family "Bacterial small subunit ribosomal RNA", at positions 338 to 676 of the family's 1533-position model. The record is from RNAcentral.
CCUACGGGUGGCAGCAGUGGGGAAUAUUGCGCAAUGGGCGAAAGCCUGACGCAGCGACGCCGCGUGAGGGAUGAAGGUCUGCGGAGCGGAAACCUCUGUCAGCAGGGAAGAACGGUCACUGUGCUAAUCAGCAGUGAAUUGACGGUACCUGCAAAGGAAGCACCGGCUAACUCCGUGCCAGCAGCCGCGGUAAUACGGAGGGUGCGAGCGUUAAGCGGAAUAACUGGGCGGAAAGCGCUCGUAGGCGGUCGGUCACGUCAAGGGCGAAAGACCCGCGCUCAACGUGGGAACUGCCUUUGAAACUGUCAACCUGGAGUGUGUGUGAGGAUAGUGGAAUUCCCGGUGU